AUGCAGGGAGGGAGCUCGGAGGGAGCAGCGCGGCCCCCUCGGCCUUUCCCGGAUGGAUGCGCGGGAGGCGGCGGCAGGUCAGCUCAGGGGCGGGACGCGGGGGUCGGGGUGGGCGUGGGACGGACCUGCCCUAGGGCAGGUGACCCCCGCGGCCGAGCAGGACUCUCAGGUGGGGGCCACUCGCCCAGGGCCUUUAACAGCCUCCGGAGGAUUCGCCCACGGGGGCGUCCCCACACUCCCCACACCUGCCCGGGCCGCGUCUCACACGUGAUCCCCGAGUUAGCAAGACUUCGAAGAGGAGCGAGUGGUCACAGCAGAUGCACACGGUCGUCCCCACCAUCCCGGGCGGUGCCCUCGGAUGGCGCCGCUCCCCGUGCCCGUCCCCUCCCCCCCCGCCCCUCCGCCUCGCUCCCCUCCCUCCCGGCGCCCCCCUCCCCCGGCCCCUCCCCUCCUCCUUCUCCACGUCCUCCUCCUGCCUCCCCCUUCCCUACCCCUCCCCCCGCCCCUCCCCUCCUCCCCCUCCACGUCCCUCUCCUCUCCCCUCCCCGCCCGCCCCGUCCUCCCCAUCCUUCCCUCCACCCCAACUCCCCCGUCCCCUCCCCCACGUCCCUCUCCUCCCCCGGGCUCUUCCGCCCUCCGUUUCCCUUAACGGGCUCUGCUUCCCGGGCAGGGAACCGCCCCCCUCCGGGACCCGCGAGACUCCCCAAUAGAAGGGGCGGCCCGGAGGGAGCGCCCCGGCCCCCCGCCCUGCAGCUCCCAGCGGGCACGGGCGCCCCCGCUGCACCUCGGCCGAGCCCCCGGCGCCGGCACGCCCCUCGGUUCCCGCUUCUGCCGCAGCGCCCGGGCGGCCCCGACACCUUCCGCCCGCCCCGCCCCCCGCCGCCGCCCCGGCUCGCGCGCCCCUCGCGCUUCCUCCGCCCGCCCCAGCCUCCCCCACCCGCCCGCCUCCAGCCACGUGACAGGAAGGGCUCCGCCGCGCGACGUCACGACGUCCCCGCCGUCCGCCCCCGCCCCCGCCCCCCCGCGCGGCGCACGCAGACGGCGGGGGGACGGCGGGGGGGACGUGCUCGCGCGCCCCGCGCUCCCCACCCCGGGCCGCGCGCGGGUUCCCGGAUGUGCGCCGCGCCGAAGCCCCGCCCCCGCCGCCCCGCGGCGCCCCGCUGGCCCCGCCCUCCGCCGCCCUCCCCGCGCUCGUGCUGGAGGUUGCGGGUCAGCGCGAGCCUCCGCAGAGUCGGUCGCGGCCCCGCCUGA
This 1251-nucleotide long non-coding RNA is filed under the name Canis lupus familiaris (dog). RNAcentral describes it as "lncRNA (ENSCAFG00040006278.1)". Lineage: Eukaryota; Metazoa; Chordata; Mammalia; Carnivora; Canidae. The record is from RNAcentral.